CCUGAGGCAAGUAAAGGGGAAGGAUUGCAGGCCCAAAGUCACGGCAAUGGAAAAACCAUUAGCAGCAGGAGGCAGGAAAGCCCUCUGGAAUGCCUUGCUACUGUCCUGCCCCAUUUCUCACUCCUUCUCUCCUUGCAACAUCCCAGAUGAGAAGAGAAUGAGCCAUGUGUUUCCUGAAACAUCCAGUGGCCUCACCGGAGAAUCUGCAAGAGCCGGUAAACCCAGAAGCUUGGCCGUCCAUUCCUGGAAGCAGACAUUGUGUCUUCGUCCACCAAGCCCCUGGCUCUCAACACUCACUGUGGUGGCAAGAACAUGGCACCUUGACCCUACACAGUUCUUCCAUUUUUCAGAAGCAGCUCCAGACCCUUGUCCCCAGGUUUUGACCCCACCCAGACCUUUGCCUGGGACGGAAAGCUGCUUCAUUUCAGGAGACACCUGAAGUACCUGGGUUGGUUCAGAGACUACCAGAAGUUUUUGGACUUCUUCUAGUCCUUUAAUGGCCAAAAGGACUCAAGGGCCUGGCAUGUAAUGGAAAAGGCAUCACCUCUCUCAUGGAACGCAGCUGGAAGGACCAACCCCUUCAUAGUUACAGGAAUCUGAGCUAUGAAGACACUAGCCAGGCAACAAGGCCCUGGGCUCAGACACAGAUGAAGUUUCUCUGGAAGAGAAAUCUGGCCUGUUACAGACCUGGGAAGUGCCAAGGCUUAGCUCCUGAGAAGGAUUGCUGGUGCUGACAGCUGGGAGUCAGGACUCCAGGGCCACUUGUAUGGAAGCUGGUGCCCGUGGUGCAGGAGGAUGGGGGCUCUGGAUUCUGCACCACCCCCCAUAGACUGGCCCCUCAGAGGGCUCCUGUGGUGUCAGAGCCCUCUCACAAGCGCCUGCCGUGGUUAUCAGCUGAAGCUGAGUGCUUGUGGAGUGUGGACAGAGGGCAGAGGGAGAGAAGCAGCCAUGGGCUUCCUGCCAGGAAGCUCAGCAGCUCCGAGGAGACUGGAGAGUCAUGGGACACAGUGCGUCCUCCCCAGAACAGCCUCCAGCCUGCCAGUUCAGAGCACACGCUUGGAGGCAGGAAGGCUGAGGUCCAACCCCAUUCCUGCUAUGGGCCAGCUGAGAGCUGUGGACAAGUCAUUCGGCUUCUCUGAGCCGCAGUCUUCUCACCUGUAAAGCGGGGGUAAUAAUACCCUCCUCACAAGGUUGUUGCAAGGCUUUGUGGGGAAAAAUACAAAGUGCACAGAGUUGUUCAGUAAGGCGUGGGCCUGCGGGGAAAGGCGGGGCCAUGAGCUGGCCAGGGGAGGAAAGGACAGAUGGGGACUCCAGAUAAUGAAAGCAUCUUUGCAUCCUC
RNAcentral lists this long non-coding RNA (1339 nucleotides) under Homo sapiens (human). RNAcentral's name for it is "non-protein coding LINC01936:28". The record is from RNAcentral. Lineage: Eukaryota; Metazoa; Chordata; Mammalia; Primates; Hominidae.